UGUGUGAUGCUCUCCAGAUUCUGGCUUUAGAGAUGCUUUAAUCCACUUGAAGGAGGAAGGAGAAGGACCCAGCUAAAUCCCAAGAGGACAAAAUGGCAGAGGGUGAAUCAAUGGAUGAGCCCCUGAUUGCUACAACAUAUGCAACAUUUCACUGGCUGUAUGAAUCUCUCGAUCCAAAACUGGCCUGGUCCUGAAAGGAACAAUAUUUAUCAUAUUCUAUCUUGAUGAAAUCUGAAUGCUAAGAGGCUACCUGACAUCACAGCAGGAGUCCAUGGCAGGGAUCUGAAGGU
This is a long non-coding RNA of Urocitellus parryii (Arctic ground squirrel), 290 nucleotides long. RefSeq lists it as uncharacterized. The record is from RefSeq and is a predicted model, not a curated record. Lineage: Eukaryota; Metazoa; Chordata; Mammalia; Rodentia; Sciuridae.